This 253-nucleotide ribosomal RNA is filed under the name uncultured bacterium. RNAcentral's name for it is "partial 16S ribosomal RNA". It matches the Rfam family "Bacterial small subunit ribosomal RNA", at positions 524 to 776 of the family's 1533-position model. The record is from RNAcentral.
UACGAAGGGGGCAAGCGUUGUUCGGAAUCACUGGGCUUAAAGCGCACGUAGGCGGCUAUGUAAGUCAGAGGUGAAAGCUCGUGGCUCAACGAUAGAACUGCCUUUGAUACUGUUAAGCUUGAGAGUAGGUGAGGUUAGUGGAAUUUGACAUGUAGAGGUGAAAUGCGUAGAUAUGUGAUAGAACACAGGUUGCGAAGGCGGCCGGCUAGCCUGAUAUUGACGCUGAGGUGCGAAAGCGUGGGUAGCGAAUAGG